RNAcentral lists this long non-coding RNA (448 nucleotides) under Panax ginseng (ginseng). RNAcentral's name for it is "long non-coding RNA (PGIN_LNC004784)". The record is from RNAcentral. Lineage: Eukaryota; Viridiplantae; Streptophyta; Magnoliopsida; Apiales; Araliaceae.
AUGAAGCAACCUUGAGAUUCUUUAUUGAAGUCAGUAGAAAAUCUGAUGAACAAGGUAAAUUCCCACUGAUUAUAGAUAUUGAAAAAAGAAGCGGACGCACAACAAUCUUGCAUAACUUGACAAAUGUAGAAGAAUCUGUUAUUCACGAUGUAACGCCAAUCAGAUCAACACAAGGGAAUUCAACACUAGUUCCACUAGCAACACAAGAUUGCCAAAUUGGAACGCAAUAUGUUGAUCAGCUUGCAAUGGAAAUUAUUGAACAACAACGAGACAGACAACAUGACAAAUCAUACACAGAAGAACGAUAUGAUGAUGUAAUAACAGAUCCGAAUGAACGUGAAGUAAAAUUACAUCAAACCUACAAAGACAAAAAAAUCCUAUCACAAUCAAUGAGGCUGCAUUCAAUCAAGAAAAACAGACAACACAAAGUUCAACGAACAGGUCAUAG